Molecule: non-coding RNA, 45 nt
Filed under: Schistosoma margrebowiei
Lineage: Eukaryota; Metazoa; Platyhelminthes; Trematoda; Strigeidida; Schistosomatidae
Source: RNAcentral
AUCUAGAUGGCGAGUGCCAAAUAGGACGAAACGUGCUUCUUGGAU